GAUGAACGCUAGCGGCAGGCCUAAUACAUGCAAGUCGAGGGGUAGUGGAGCUUGCUCCACGAGACCGGCGCACGGGUGCGUAACGCGUAUGCAACCUACCUUCACCUGGGGGAUAGCCCGGAGAAAUCCGGAUUAACACCGCAUAAAACCACAGUACCGCAUGGUACAAUGGUCAAACAUUCAUGGGGCGGAGAUGGGCAUGCGUGCCAUUAGUAGUUGGCGGGGUAACGCCCACCAAGACCGCGAUGGCUAGGGGAU
Molecule: ribosomal RNA, 258 nt
Filed under: uncultured bacterium
Lineage: Bacteria
Description: partial 16S ribosomal RNA
Rfam family: Bacterial small subunit ribosomal RNA
Source: RNAcentral